UACGAAGGGGGCAAGCGUUGCUCGGAAUCACUGGGCGUAAAGGGUGCGUAGGCGGGUCUUUAAGUCAGGGGUGAAAUCCUGGAGCUCAACUCCAGAACUGCCUUUGAUACUGAGGAUCUUGAGUUCGGGAGAGGUGAGUGGAACUGCGAGUGUAGAGGUGAAAUUCGUAGAUAUUCGCAAGAACACCAGUGGCGAAGGCGGCUCACUGGCCCGAUACUGACGCUGAGGCACGAAAGCGUGGGGAGCAAACAGG
RNAcentral lists this ribosomal RNA (253 nucleotides) under uncultured bacterium. RNAcentral describes it as "partial 16S ribosomal RNA". It matches the Rfam family "Bacterial small subunit ribosomal RNA", at positions 524 to 776 of the family's 1533-position model. The record is from RNAcentral.